This 506-nucleotide ribosomal RNA is filed under the name uncultured bacterium. RNAcentral's name for it is "partial 16S ribosomal RNA". It matches the Rfam family "Bacterial small subunit ribosomal RNA", at positions 30 to 523 of the family's 1533-position model. The record is from RNAcentral.
AUUGAACGCUGGCGGCAGGCCUAACACAUGCAAGUCGGACGGUAGCACAGAGGAGCUUGCUCCUCGGGUGACGAGUGGCGGACGGGUGAGUAAUGUCUGGGGAUCUGCCCGAUAGAGGGGGAUAACUACUGGAAACGGUAGCUAAUACCGCAUAACGUCGCAAGACCAAAGUGGGGGACCUUCGGGCCUCACACCAUCGGAUGUGCCCAGAUGGGAUUAGCUAGUAGGUGGGGUAAUGGCUCACCUAGGCGACGAUCCCUAGCUGGUCUGAGAGGAUGACCAGCCACACUGGAACUGAGACACGGUCCAGACUCCUACGGGAGGCAGCAGUGGGGAAUAUUGCACAAUGGGCGCAAGCCUGAUGCAGCCAUGCCGCGUGUAUGAAGAAGGCCUUCGGGUUGUAAAGUACUUUCAGCGGGGAGGAAGGCGGUGAAGUUAAUAGCUUCACCGAUUGACGUUACCCGCAGAAGAAGCACCGGCUAACUCCGUGCCAGCCGCCGCGGUAA